Molecule: transfer RNA, 71 nt
Filed under: Bradypus variegatus (Brown-throated sloth)
Lineage: Eukaryota; Metazoa; Chordata; Mammalia; Pilosa; Bradypodidae
Description: tRNA-Ala
Source: RNAcentral
GAGGAAAUAGCUUAUAAUAAAAGUGUUAGAUUUGCAUUGAAUAGAUGUAAGGUGAAGUGAAGCAGUCCUUG